GUUGGUGUAGCACAGUCGGUAGUGCGUUUCAUUCGUGAUGAAGAGGUCGGAGGUUCGAUUCCUCUCACUAGCA
Molecule: transfer RNA, 73 nt
Filed under: Oceanobacillus chungangensis
Lineage: Bacteria; Bacillati; Bacillota; Bacilli; Caryophanales; Bacillaceae
Description: tRNA-Thr
Rfam family: tRNA
About the family: Transfer RNA (tRNA) molecules are approximately 80 nucleotides in length. Their secondary structure includes four short double-helical elements and three loops (D, anti-codon, and T loops). Further hydrogen bonds mediate the characteristic L-shaped molecular structure. tRNAs have two regions of fundamental functional importance: the anti-codon, which is responsible for specific mRNA codon recognition, and the 3' end, to which the tRNAs corresponding amino acid is attached (by aminoacyl-tRNA synthetases). tRNAs cope with the degeneracy of the genetic code in two manners: having more than one tRNA (with a specific anti-codon) for a particular amino acid; and 'wobble' base-pairing, i.e. permitting non-standard base-pairing at the 3rd anti-codon position.
Source: RNAcentral